GUUCCUGUAGCGCAAUGGGUACAUCUUUGAACUUUUAAUUCGAAGGUCGUGGGUUUGAAUCCCACCUGGAAUG
Molecule: non-coding RNA, 73 nt
Organism: Trichonephila clavipes
Lineage: Eukaryota; Metazoa; Arthropoda; Arachnida; Araneae; Nephilidae
Source: the annotation of a GenBank genome assembly